CGCAAAUUGCGCCCUUUGGUAUUCCGAAGGGCAUGCCUGUUUGAGUGUCUUAUAAACCUCACCCCUAAUGUUUUAUCACAAUAGGUUGGUGCUUUGGGUGUUGCCAUUUACCUGGCUCGCCUUAAAUGACUAAGUGGAAUGCGUAAUAAGUUCUCGCAACCCUCCACUCUAAUACAAUUUAUAUUCUGACCUCAAAUCAGGUAGGACUACCCGCUGAACUUAA
This 223-nucleotide unclassified non-coding RNA is filed under the name Dioszegia hungarica. Its description in RNAcentral is "partial contains 5.8S ribosomal RNA, internal transcribed spacer 2, and large subunit ribosomal RNA". The stretch from base 1 to 50 matches the Rfam family "5.8S ribosomal RNA", at positions 105 to 154 of the family's 154-position model. The record is from RNAcentral. Lineage: Eukaryota; Fungi; Basidiomycota; Tremellomycetes; Tremellales; Bulleribasidiaceae.